This 428-nucleotide ribosomal RNA is filed under the name uncultured bacterium. RNAcentral describes it as "partial 16S ribosomal RNA". It matches the Rfam family "Bacterial small subunit ribosomal RNA", at positions 354 to 796 of the family's 1533-position model. The record is from RNAcentral.
GUAGGGAAUAUUGCGCAAUGGGGGAAACCCUGACGCAGCGACGCCGCGUGAGUGAUGAAGGCCUUCGGGUCGUAAAGCUCUGUUGCAGGGGAAUAAAAAAAUGAAGGUACCCUGUGAGGAAGGAUCGGCUAACUUCGUGCCAGCAGCCGCGGUAAGACGAGGGAUCCUAGCGUUGCUCGGAAUCAUUGGGCGUAAAGAGGGCGUAGGUGGCUUGGUAAGUCAGGUGUGAAAGCCCAGGGCUCAACCCUGGAAGUGCAUUUGAUACUGCUGAGCUUGAGUGUCGGAGAGGUUACCGGAAUACCUGGUGUAGUGGUGAAAUACGUAGAUAUCAGGUGGAACACCGGAGGCGAAGGCGGGUAACUGGACGAACACUGACACUGAGGCCCGAAAGCGUGGGGAGCAAACAGGAUUAGAAACCCUGGUAGUCC